This 523-nucleotide ribosomal RNA is filed under the name Bacillus subtilis. RNAcentral describes it as "bacterial SSU rRNA". It matches the Rfam family "Bacterial small subunit ribosomal RNA", at positions 555 to 1077 of the family's 1533-position model. Lineage: Bacteria; Bacillati; Bacillota; Bacilli; Caryophanales; Bacillaceae. The record is from RNAcentral.
UGGGCGUAAGGGCUCGCAGGCGGUUUCUUAAGUCUGAUGUGAAAGCCCCCGGCUCAACCGGGGAGGGUCAUUGGAAACUGGGAAACUUGAGUGCAGAAGAGGAGAGUGGAAUUCCACGUGUAGCGGUGAAAUGCGUAGAGAUGUGGAGGAACACCAGUGGCGAAGGCGACUCUCUGGUCUGUAACUGACGCUGAGGAGCGAAAGCGUGGGGAGCGAACAGGAUUAGAUACCCUGGUAGUCCACGCCGUAAACGAUGAGUGCUAAGUGUUAGGGGGUUUCCGCCCCUUAGUGCUGCAGCUAACGCAUUAAGCACUCCGCCUGGGGAGUACGGUCGCAAGACUGAAACUCAAAGGAAUUGACGGGGGCCCGCACAAGCGGUGGAGCAUGUGGUUUAAUUCGAAGCAACGCGAAGAACCUUACCAGGUCUUGACAUCCUCUGACAACCCUAGAGAUAGGGCUUUCCCUUCGGGGACAGAGUGACAGGUGGUGCAUGGUUGUCGUCAGCUCGUGUCGUGAGAUGUUG